GAUCCUGGCUCAGAAUCAACGCUGGCGGCGUGCCUCAGACAUGCAAGUCGAACGCGAAAGUCCCCUUCGGGGGACAAGUAGAGUGGCGCACGGGUGAGUAACACGUAGGUAAUCUACCUUUGGAUGGGGAAUAACCACCGGAAACGGUGGCUAAUACCGCAUAAUGCAGCGGCACCUAAUGGUGACAGUUGUUAAAGCGGGGGAUCGAAAGACCUCGCGUCUAAAGAGGAGCCUGCGGCGGAUUAGCUAGUUGGUAAGGUAAUGGCUUACCAAGGCUACGAUCCGUAACCGGCCUGAGAGGGCGGUCGGUCACACUGACACUGACAUACGGGUCAGACUCCUACGGGAGGCAGCAGUCGGGAAUUUUGGGCAAUGGGCGAAAGCCUGACCCAGCAACGCCGCGUGAAGGAUGAAAUCCCUCGGGAUGUAAACUUCGCAAGAACGGGAAGAAUAAGUAGGGGACAAUACCCCCUAUGAUGACGGUACCGUUUGUAAGCUCCGGCUAACUCCGUGCCAGCAGCCGCGGUAAUACGGGGGGAGCAAGCGUUGUUCGGAUUUACUGGGCGUAAAGGGCGCGUAGGCGGUCAGCACAAGUCAGUUGUGAAAUCUCCGAGCUUAACUCGGAAAGGUCAACUGAUACUGUGCGACUAGAGUGCAGAAGGGGCAACUGGAAUUCUCGGUGUAGCGGUG
RNAcentral lists this ribosomal RNA (690 nucleotides) under uncultured Acidobacteriota bacterium. RNAcentral describes it as "bacterial SSU rRNA". It matches the Rfam family "Bacterial small subunit ribosomal RNA", at positions 15 to 683 of the family's 1533-position model. The record is from RNAcentral. Lineage: Bacteria; Pseudomonadati; Acidobacteriota.